This is a non-coding RNA of Pelobates cultripes (western spadefoot toad), 85 nucleotides long. The record is from the annotation of a GenBank genome assembly. NCBI's taxonomy places the organism in Eukaryota, Metazoa, Chordata, Amphibia, Anura, Pelobatidae.
ACCCGACGCGCGUUUCGGUGCUGUGAUGCACCUUCGUCAGGGGCCCUGACGAAGGUGCAUCACAGCACCGAAACGCGCGUCGGGU